UAUUGAACAACGCAUUUAUUCACAUUCUCGAAAAUGACAAUUUUGAUUCGAGGCGCGCGAUUUCCGCAGUCGCCCAGGACGCAUCGAAAAUUUUCGGACAGAAUGGAGACGAGAUAUCAGCGGACAAUCUUGGGUGCGGCGCUUCCCUUGUCCCUCCGGGGGCCAAGGUGGGAAGGGUCGCAAUGAUUGAACGUACAG
RNAcentral lists this small nuclear RNA (198 nucleotides) under Magnaporthiopsis poae ATCC 64411. RNAcentral's name for it is "Magnaporthe poae ATCC 64411 a. fumigatus sRNA Afu_182". It matches the Rfam family "A. fumigatus sRNA Afu_182". Lineage: Eukaryota; Fungi; Ascomycota; Sordariomycetes; Magnaporthales; Magnaporthaceae. The record is from Rfam by way of RNAcentral.